RNAcentral lists this RNase P RNA (438 nucleotides) under Patescibacteria group bacterium. Its description in RNAcentral is "RNase P RNA component class A". It matches the Rfam family "Bacterial RNase P class A". Rfam says of the family: Ribonuclease P (RNase P) is a ubiquitous endoribonuclease, found in archaea, bacteria and eukarya as well as chloroplasts and mitochondria. Its best characterised activity is the generation of mature 5'-ends of tRNAs by cleaving the 5'-leader elements of precursor-tRNAs. Cellular RNase Ps are ribonucleoproteins. The record is from RNAcentral.
ACAAUAUAGAUAAUCGCCAUGAACCAGUGCAAGCACGGUACAUGGAGGAAAGUCCGGACACCAUAAUAAGGGUGGUUGGUAACGCCAACCGUCCCAACCUUUUUCAUAAAAAGUGUUGGGGUAGGGAAAGUGCCACAGAGACUAUACUAUCUAGCUUUUUUAAGCUAGAUAAACGUGAAAAGUUGAUAGAUGUUUCUUUUUGAAGCUACUAUCUUCUCUCCUGCGUGAGCAGGAUGAGUGGCAAACCCCACCUGGUGAAAGACCAAAUAGGUAGGUCGUUUGACUCCGUUAGCAAUAGCGGGGCUAGAUAAAUGAUUAUCAUCUAGUUUUAGGUACUAGUGCCCGUAGUGCUUCUAGGUUAGAGCCUAGCUUAAAUGUUUAGAAGCGCUAAGUACUUGAAAAACGUAGGUUACAGAAUCCGGCUUAUUUAUUGUUUAU